UACGUAGGGGGCAAGCGUUGUCCGGAUUUAUUGGGCGCAAAGAGCGUGUAGGCGGCCAGACAGGUCCGUUGUGAAAACUCGAGGCUCAACCUCGAGACGCCGAUGGAAACCGUUUGGCUAGAGUCCGGAAGAGGAGAGUGGAAUUCCUGGUGUAGCGGUGAAAUGCGCAGAUAUCAGGAAGAACACCCGUGGCGAAGGCGGUUCUCUGGGACGGUACUGACGCUGAGACGCGAAAGCGUGGGGAGCGAACAGG
RNAcentral lists this ribosomal RNA (253 nucleotides) under uncultured bacterium. Its description in RNAcentral is "partial 16S ribosomal RNA". It matches the Rfam family "Bacterial small subunit ribosomal RNA", at positions 524 to 776 of the family's 1533-position model. The record is from RNAcentral.